CUACGGGAGGCAGCAGCUAAGAAUAUUCCGCAAUGGGAGAUAUCCUGACGGAGCGACGCCGCGUGUAUGAAGAAGGCAGAAAUGUUGUAAAGUACUUUUAUGCGGGAAGAAGAAGACUAGUAAUGGAAAGAUUAGUCGGUGACGGUACCGCAUGAAUAAGCCACGGCUAACUACGUGCCAGCAGCCGCGGUAAUACGUAGGUGGCAAGCGUUGUUCGGAUUUAUUGGGCGUAAAGGGCAUGUAGGCGGUUAGAAAAGUGUGAAUUGAAAGGCGCAGGCUCAACCUGCUGUUUGGUUUGCAAACUCUCUAACUAGAGUGCAGAAGGGGAAACUGGAAUUCCGCGUGUAGGGGUGAAAUCUGUAGAUAUGCGGAAGAAUACUUGUGGCGAAGGCGAGUUUCUGGUCUGUAACUGACGCUGAAAUGCGAAAGUGUGGGGAGCAAACAGGAUUAGAUACCCGCGUAGUCCC
This 467-nucleotide ribosomal RNA is filed under the name uncultured bacterium. RNAcentral's name for it is "bacterial SSU rRNA". It matches the Rfam family "Bacterial small subunit ribosomal RNA", at positions 339 to 797 of the family's 1533-position model. The record is from RNAcentral.